GACUCCGGUUCUAUUUUGUGGGUUUUCGGAACCAGGGCCAUGAUUAAGAGGGACGGCCGGGGGCAUUCGUAUUGCGCCGCUAGAGGUGAAAUUCUUGGACCGGAGCAAGACGGACGAAAGCGAAAGCAUUUGCCAAGAAUGUUUUCAUUAAUCAAGAACGAAAGUCGGAGGUUCGAAGACGAUCAGAUACCGUCGUAGUUCCAACCGUAAACCAUGCCGACCUGCGAUCCGGCGGCGUUAUUCCCAUGACCCGCCGGGCAGCGUGCGGGAAACCACGAGUCUUU
This 284-nucleotide ribosomal RNA is filed under the name Klebsiella pneumoniae. RNAcentral's name for it is "partial 16S ribosomal RNA". It matches the Rfam family "Eukaryotic small subunit ribosomal RNA", at positions 826 to 1108 of the family's 1831-position model. The record is from RNAcentral. Lineage: Bacteria; Pseudomonadati; Pseudomonadota; Gammaproteobacteria; Enterobacterales; Enterobacteriaceae.